GUUUUGUUAAUUUGCUUUUGGUUAAGAAAAAUAAAAUGUAAUAUUUUUUAGAUAUAGACAUAUGAAUUAGUAUAUGUUAAUAAUGAUUUAUUUUUUAGUUUUCUAUUUCUUUAAGAAAAAAAAGUUAAUUAUUUUCUUACACGUGUCAACAUCUGAUCGAUAGACUUGACACGUGGCAUAAUCCUAUGAAUUAGUAAUUCUAAU
This 204-nucleotide small RNA is filed under the name Arabidopsis thaliana (thale cress). Its description in RNAcentral is "ATSL190110". The record is from RNAcentral. Lineage: Eukaryota; Viridiplantae; Streptophyta; Magnoliopsida; Brassicales; Brassicaceae.